AUUGUCCAUAAUGGCUUUAUCAGAUCUUUUUACAACUACUCUUAGCAAACAUCUGUAAGCCUUUUGCUGUCAAAAAUAUUCUCAUAUAUAUGAUAUUAAUGUAACCAUGGCAUGAAAACAAGGAUGGCAAAGGAUUUUUUGCAGAAGAAGUCACAGAAAAGGUAAAUAUUUUCUCGUUUGUGCCCACAAACGAAAUUCGUGCUAUAGUCAUGGCUAACAAUCGUUUGUCGACGGCUUUGUAAAAUAGUGGACGAUUGGACGAUAAAAGCGAUCGAAAAUUGCUAGAAACUACUGGUGAAAUGUAGUUCUUUCCCUGUACUCUCACCUCCUGUUCGUGUUAAUCUUAGUAUGAUCGAUAUUUUAUCGGUAAACCGCAUGUUAUAGAAAUCUUUGACCCCAAAGCGUACGUGUCUCGGUGUCUGCUAUUGCAGUUAAUAAAAUCCAAAAGAAAAACGUUUUAAUGCAUUUUAUCCUACACUAAGGAGCUUAUCGAUUGGUCACUAACUGUCAUUGAAAAUUAAAACUUCAAUCACUAGGUCCUCUGUCGUUUAAUUUUGAAAUGAAGCUGAGAAAACCUUUCGAUUAUAAUAUUUAACAAAAUAUCCUUGACCGAAGCCGUUACUGUUUAGCAAUUAACGAAAAUUUAUAGAAAUUUUAAUACGUAAUAUAUCUACCCCAAAUCAAUAAAUGUUUACAAAUGCAUUAACAACGGCUAAAUUAGAAUUUUGUUCGUCAUUUGUCUCAGCUACUUAUUAAAUGUUGACAAUUAAUUUGAAAUGAAAUAUUGUUUACAGUAUUCAUUGGUCAAGCUGGACAAUACUUGUAAGAUAAAUAAACCACAAUCAGAGAUCAUGUGGUUACAUGGUGAACAUCAUAUGUACCCGACUGCAUUUUACACAUGAUAUUUUGACCAUGGAAAAGUAUGAGAACUUGGGUUUAGUUGGAGAAGGAUCUUAUGGCAUGGUGAUGAAGUGUCGCCACAAGUCCAAUCAAAUUGUUGCAAUUAAGAAGUUUUUAGAGUCUGAAGAUGAUAAAAUGGUUAAGAAAAUUGCAAUGAGAGAAGUGCGCAUGUUGAAG
Molecule: non-coding RNA, 1077 nt
Organism: Paramuricea clavata
Lineage: Eukaryota; Metazoa; Cnidaria; Anthozoa; Malacalcyonacea; Plexauridae
Source: the annotation of a GenBank genome assembly